RNAcentral lists this ribosomal RNA (472 nucleotides) under uncultured bacterium. Its description in RNAcentral is "bacterial SSU rRNA". It matches the Rfam family "Bacterial small subunit ribosomal RNA", at positions 35 to 507 of the family's 1533-position model. The record is from RNAcentral.
GCUGGCGGCGUGCCUAACACAUGCAAGUCAACUUGACUGAAGGAGCAAUCUGACAGUAGAGUGGUGCAAGGGUGCGUAACGCGUAAGUAACUUGCCCAAGGUAAGGAAUAACGUCGAGAAAUCGGCGCUAAUACCUCAUAAUGCAGCGGAUCCGCAUGGAUAUGUUGUUAAAGGUUUACCGCCUUGGGAUAGGCUUGCGUCUGAUUAGCUAGUUGGUGUGGUAACGGCACACCAAGACUACGAUCAGUAACUGGUCUGAGAGGAUGAUCAGUCACACUGGAACUGAGACACGGUCCAGACUCCUACGGGAGGCAGCAGUGAGGAAUAUUGGGCAAUGCUCGAAAGAGUGACCCAGCAACGCCGCGUGGAGGAUGAAGGUAUUCUAUAUCGUAAACUCCUGUGAGAGCAGACGAAAGACAGAUUAUUAAUCUGGAUGACUGUAUGCUCAGAGGAAGCCCCGGCUAACUACGUG